This is a non-coding RNA of Aspergillus ibericus CBS 121593, 112 nucleotides long. The record is from the annotation of a RefSeq genome assembly. NCBI's taxonomy places the organism in Eukaryota, Fungi, Ascomycota, Eurotiomycetes, Eurotiales, Aspergillaceae.
GGCAAGGUGGCCGAGCGGUCUAAGGCGUCAGGUUAAGGUCACACCUUAAUAUGCAGCUCCCAAGCUUCCUGAUCAUCGUAAGAUGGCGUGGGUUCGAAUCCCACCCUUGUCA